AUUGAACGCUGGCGGCAUGCUUUACACAUGCAAGUCGAACGGCAGCACGAAAGAGCUUGCUCUUUUGGUGGCGAGUGGCGAACGGGUGAGUAAUGCAUCGGAACGUACCGAGUAAUGGGGGAUAACUGUCCGAAAGGAUAGCUAAUACCGCAUACGCUUUGAGAAGGAAAGUGGGGGCUCUUCGGACCUCACGUUAUUCGAGCGGCCGAUGUCUGAUUAGCUAGUUGGUGGGGUAAAGGCCUACCAAGGCGACGAUCAGUAGCGGGUCUGAGAGGAUGAUCCGCCACACUGGGACUGAGACACGGCCCAGACUCCUACGGGAGGCAGCAGUGGGGAAUUUUGGACAAAGGGCGCAAGCCUGAUCCAGCCAUGCCGCGUGUCUGAAGAAGGCCUUCGGGUUGUAAAGGACUUUUGUUAGGGAAGAAAAGGAUAGUGUUAAUACCAUGAUCUGCUGACGGUACCUAAAGAAUAAGCACCGGCUAACUACGUG
Molecule: ribosomal RNA, 490 nt
Filed under: uncultured bacterium
Lineage: Bacteria
Description: partial 16S ribosomal RNA
Rfam family: Bacterial small subunit ribosomal RNA
Source: RNAcentral